GCGGACGUGGCGAAACUGGUAGACGCACUACCUUGAGGUGGUAGCGCCCGUAAGGGUGUGGGAGUUCGAAUCUCCCCGUCCGCA
Molecule: transfer RNA, 84 nt
Filed under: bacterium
Lineage: Bacteria
Description: tRNA-Leu
Rfam family: tRNA
About the family: Transfer RNA (tRNA) molecules are approximately 80 nucleotides in length.
Source: RNAcentral